AUGACUUUUGAUACUGAGAAUGAACUGCAAGAGUACUAAAUCAAACAAGGUAAAGCAAAUGGCUAUGGUGUGACAAGAAGAAACUCACACAAUGAUGAGAACGGACAACUAAAGUCCCUUACACUCUCCUGCUCUCGCUAUGAUAGGAUUUAGUAAAACUCAAGAAAUAUGUUGAAGCUAAAUCCAACAUCGAGAAUAGGAUGCAAAGCUAAAAUUAAUAUUAUACGUGUGCCCAAUGGGAGGCUUCAUCUUUACACAAUGAUUUCGUAUCAUAGUCACACAAUGAGUCCACAUAAAUCUUGGUUAUUUAGAUACAAUAAAAAGUUAGAGUACCAUGACAAGCAAAUUCUUGCGUUGAAUGACCAUGUCAGUAUACGAGUAAACAAGAAUUUCAAUUCUUUUGUGGUGGCAGCAGAUGGUCAUGCGAACCUAACUUUUGGUAAGAAAAAUUGUCAGAAUUUUCUAGAGAAAACUAGAAGGUUAAAAACUUGGUAUUGGUGAUGUUAUAGUGGUUUGUGACUGUUUUCUUCAAAAUGCAGUCGGACAACCCAAACUUUUUUCAUGGCUCUUGAUGGUGAACCCCGACUUAGGAAUGUUUUUUGGGCUAAUGCCAGAGGUAGAGCAGUGUAUGACUCUUUUCAUGACAUCAUUACUUUUGACACAACAUAUUUGGUGAACAAAUAUGAUAUGCCUUUUGCUUGUUUUAUUGGAGUGAAUCAUCAUGGGCAGUCAGUGUUGCUAGGAUGUGCUUUAUUAUCAAAUGAAGAUUUGCAAACAUGUGUUUGGUUAUUUCAAGCAUGGCUUAAAUUUAUGUCAAAUCGUCAACCGGAAGUUAUUGUAAAUGACCAAGCAAAAGCAAUUCAGAAUGGUGUGGAAAUAGGUUCCCCGAAAUCUCGAUACAGAUGGUGCUUGUGGCAUAUAAUGAAAAAGAUACAUGAGUAGUUAGGUGGACAUGAUGAAUAUGAUCACAUCAAGGUUGCCGUUGGCAAGACAUUCUGUGAUUCAUUAACAAUUAUAGAGUUUCAAGGUGCUUGGAUGCAUAUGCUUGAGAAGUAUAGUCUUGGAGAUAAUGAAUGUUUUUAAUUGCUUUAUGACAAUCCACAUCGUUAGAUUCUAAUAUUUGUGAAAGAUGCCUUCUGGCCAAGUAUGUCUACUACACAACAUAGUGAGAGUAUGAAUGUCUUCUUUGAUGGGCAUGCUAACAAAACUACAUUGAAGCAUUUUGUUAUCCAAUACGAGAAUGCUUUUUAUGAUAAAGUUGAGAAUGGGAAUAUUGCUGAUUUUAGUUCCUUUUAUUCAACCAUACCUUCGAUCACACACUUUGACAUCGAGAAGCAAUUUCAAUCAGUUUAA
RNAcentral lists this ribosomal RNA (1353 nucleotides) under Triticum aestivum (bread wheat). RNAcentral describes it as "partial small subunit ribosomal RNA". The record is from RNAcentral. Lineage: Eukaryota; Viridiplantae; Streptophyta; Magnoliopsida; Poales; Poaceae.